This 1436-nucleotide ribosomal RNA is filed under the name Klebsiella pneumoniae subsp. ozaenae. RNAcentral's name for it is "16S ribosomal RNA". It matches the Rfam family "Bacterial small subunit ribosomal RNA". Lineage: Bacteria; Pseudomonadati; Pseudomonadota; Gammaproteobacteria; Enterobacterales; Enterobacteriaceae. The record is from RNAcentral.
AUCCUGGCUCAGAUUGAACGCUGGCGGCAGGCCUAACACAUGCAAGUCGAGCGGUAGCACAGAGAGCUUGCUCUCGGGUGACGAGCGGCGGACGGGUGAGUAAUGUCUGGGAAACUGCCUGAUGGAGGGGGAUAACUACUGGAAACGGUAGCUAAUACCGCAUAACGUCGCAAGACCAAAGUGGGGGACCUUCGGGCCUCAUGCCAUCAGAUGUGCCCAGAUGGGAUUAGCUAGUAGGUGGGGUAACGGCUCACCUAGGCGACGAUCCCUAGCUGGUCUGAGAGGAUGACCAGCCACACUGGAACUGAGACACGGUCCAGACUCCUACGGGAGGCAGCAGUGGGGAAUAUUGCACAAUGGGCGCAAGCCUGAUGCAGCCAUGCCGCGUGUGUGAAGAAGGCCUUCGGGUUGUAAAGCACUUUCAGCGGGGAGGAAGGCGUUAAGGUUAAUAACCUUGGCGAUUGACGUUACCCGCAGAAGAAGCACCGGCUAACUCCGUGCCAGCAGCCGCGGUAAUACGGAGGGUGCAAGCGUUAAUCGGAAUUACUGGGCGUAAAGCGCACGCAGGCGGUCUGUCAAGUCGGAUGUGAAAUCCCCGGGCUUAACCUGGGAACUGCAUUCGAAACUGGCAGGCUAGAGUCUUGUAGAGGGGGGUAGAAUUCCAGGUGUAGCGGUGAAAUGCGUAGAGAUCUGGAGGAAUACCGGUGGCGAAGGCGGCCCCCUGGACAAAGACUGACGCUCAGGUGCGAAAGCGUGGGGAGCAAACAGGAUUAGAUACCCUGGUAGUCCACGCCGUAAACGAUGUCGAUUUGGAGGUUGUGCCCUUGAGGCGUGGCUUCCGGAGCUAACGCGUUAAGUCGACCGCCUGGGGAGUACGGCCGCAAGGUUAAAACUCAAAUGAAUUGACGGGGGCCCGCACAAGCGGUGGAGCAUGUGGUUUAAUUCGAUGCAACGCGAAGAACCUUACCUACUCUUGACAUCCAGAGAACUUAGCAGAGAUGCUUUGGUGCCUUCGGGAACUGUGAGACAGGUGCUGCAUGGCUGUCGUCAGCUCGUGUUGUGAAAUGUUGGGUUAAGUCCCGCAACGAGCGCAACCCUUAUCCUUUGUUGCCAGCGGUCCGGCCGGGAACUCAAAGGAGACUGCCAGUGAUAAACUGGAGGAAGGUGGGGAUGACGUCAAGUCAUCAUGGCCCUUACGACCAGGGCUACACACGUGCUACAAUGGCAUAUACAAAGAGAAGCGACCUCGCGAGAGCAAGCGGACCUCAUAAAGUAUGUCGUAGUCCGGAUUGGAGUCUGCAACUCGACUCCAUGAAGUCGGAAUCGCUAGUAAUCGUAGAUCAGAAUGCUACGGUGAAUACGUUCCCGGGCCUUGUACACACCGCCCGUCACACCAUGGGAGUGGGUUGCAAAAGAAGUAGGUAGCUUAACCUUCG